UACUUGGUGGCGACCGGCGCGACGGGUGAGUAACGCGUAUGCAACCUACCUAGUCAGAGGGGAAGUAACCCGGCGAAAGUCGGACUAAUACCGCAUAAAACAGGGGCACCGCAUGGUGAUAUUUGUUAAAGAAAUUCGCUGAUAGAUGGGCAUGCGUUCCAUUAGGUAGUUGGUGAGGUAACGGCUCACCAAGCCGACGAUGGAUAGGGAACUGAGAGGUUGGUCCCCCACCACUGGUACUGAGACACGGACCAGACUCCUACGGGAGGCAGCAGUGAGGAAUAUUGGUCAAUGGGCGGGAGCCUGAACCAGCCAAGUCGCGUGAAGGAAGAAGGAUCUAUGGUUCGUAAACUUCUUUUGCAGGGGAAUAAAGUGCAGGACGUGUCCUGUUUUGUAUGUACCCUGAGAAUAAGGAUCGGCUAACUCCGUGCCAGCCGCCGC
This 441-nucleotide ribosomal RNA is filed under the name uncultured bacterium. RNAcentral's name for it is "bacterial SSU rRNA". It matches the Rfam family "Bacterial small subunit ribosomal RNA", at positions 81 to 518 of the family's 1533-position model. The record is from RNAcentral.